UAGGGAAUCUUCCACAAUGGACGCAAGUCUGAUGGAGCAACGCCGCGUGAGUGAAGAAGGUCUUCGGAUCGUAAAACUCUGUUGUUAGAGAAGAACACGAGUGAGAAUAACUGUUCAUUCGAUGACGGUAUCUAACCAGCAAGUCACGGCUAACUACGUGCCAGCAGCCGCGGUAAUACGUAGGUGGCAAGCGUUGUCCGGAUUUAUUGGGCGUAAAGGGAACGCAGGCGGUCUUUUAAGUCUGAUGUGAAAGCCUUCGGCUUAACCGGAGUAGUGCAUUGGAAACUGGAAGACUUGAGUGCAGAAGAGGAGAGUGGAACUCCAUGUGUAGCGGUGAAAUGCGUAGAUAUAUGGAAGAACACCAGUGGCGAAAGCGGCUCUCUGGUCUGUAACUGACGCUGAGGUUCGAAAGCGUGGGUAGCAAACAGGAUUAGAUACCCUGGUAGUCCACGCCGUAAACGAUGAAUGCUAGGUGUUGGAGGGUUUCCGCCCUUCAGUGCCGCAGCUAACGCAAUAAGCAUUCCGCCUGGGGAGUACGACCGCAAGGUUG
RNAcentral lists this ribosomal RNA (550 nucleotides) under uncultured bacterium. RNAcentral describes it as "bacterial SSU rRNA". It matches the Rfam family "Bacterial small subunit ribosomal RNA", at positions 355 to 896 of the family's 1533-position model. The record is from RNAcentral.